Molecule: ribosomal RNA, 338 nt
Filed under: uncultured bacterium
Lineage: Bacteria
Description: partial 16S ribosomal RNA
Rfam family: Bacterial small subunit ribosomal RNA
Source: RNAcentral
CCUACGGGUGGCAGCAGUGAGGAAUAUUGGUCAAUGGCCGGAAGGCUGAACCAGCCAAGCCGCGUGAAGGACGAAGGCUUUCGGGUUGUAAACUUCUUUUCUCAGGGACGAAGAAAGUGACGGUACCUGAGGAAUAAGCCACGGCUAACUACGUGCCAGCAGCCGCGGUAAUACGUAGGUGGCAAGCGUUAUCCGGAUUUAUUGGGUGAAAAGGGCGUGUAGGCGGGAGCGCAAGUCAGAUGUGAAAACUCAGGGCUCAACCCUGAGCCUGCAUUUGAAACUGUGUUUCUUGAGUGCUGGAGGGGCAAACGGAAUUCCGGGUGUAGCGGUGAAAUGCG